CCUCAAAUCAGGUAGGACUACCCGCUGAACUUAAGCAUAUCAAUAAGCGGAGGAAAAGAAACUAACAAGGAUUCCCCUAGUAACGGCGAGUGAAGCGGGAUGAGCUCAAAUUUAAAAUCUUGCAGCCUCAGGUUGUACGAGUUGUAGUCUAGAGAAUCGUUUUCCGCGUUGGCCUGUGUACAAGUCCCUUGGAACAGGGCGUCAUAGAGGGUGAGAAUCCCGUCCUUGACACAGACUACCAAUGCUUUGUGAUGCGAUCUCGAAGAGUCGAGUUGUUUGGGAAUGCAGCUCAAAAUGGGUGGUAAAUUCCAUCUAAAGCUAAAUAUUGGCGAGAGACCGAUAGCGAACAAGUACCGUGAGGGAAAGAUGAAAAGCACUUUGGAAAGAGAGUUAAACAGUACGUGAAAUUGUUAAAAGGGAAACGAUUGAAGUCAGUCAUGCUCUCCGAGACUCAGCCGAUUCUGUCGGUGUACUUCUCGGUUGGCAGGCCAGCAUCAGUUUUGAUCUGUGGAAAAGGUUGGAGAGAAUGUGGCAUCUUCGGAUGUGUUAUAGCUCUUCUUCGAAUACAUAGAGCAGGGACUGAGGAACGCAGCGUGCCUUUUAUUAGGUUGGCCUUCGGGUACAUACACGC
RNAcentral lists this ribosomal RNA (631 nucleotides) under Mrakia sp. RNAcentral's name for it is "eukaryotic LSU rRNA". It matches the Rfam family "Eukaryotic large subunit ribosomal RNA", at positions 1 to 616 of the family's 3401-position model. Lineage: Eukaryota; Fungi; Basidiomycota; Tremellomycetes; Cystofilobasidiales; Mrakiaceae. The record is from RNAcentral.